GUCUAUGGCCAUGUCACCCUGACGUGCCCGAUCCCGUCUGAUCGCGGACGCUAAGCAGGGUCGGGCCCGGGUUCGUACUUGGAUGGGAGACCACCUAGGAAGACCGGGUGCUGUAGGCG
RNAcentral lists this ribosomal RNA (119 nucleotides) under Pteropus vampyrus (large flying fox). The record is from RNAcentral. Lineage: Eukaryota; Metazoa; Chordata; Mammalia; Chiroptera; Pteropodidae.